UUUGUUUGAUGGCUGAGUAUGCAAGCGAUAGACUGUAGAUCUAUUAACGGAAUUAAGUUUUCUCAACAAAU
Molecule: transfer RNA, 71 nt
Filed under: Cryptonatica andoi
Lineage: Eukaryota; Metazoa; Mollusca; Gastropoda; Littorinimorpha; Naticidae
Description: tRNA-Tyr
Rfam family: tRNA
About the family: Transfer RNA (tRNA) molecules are approximately 80 nucleotides in length. Their secondary structure includes four short double-helical elements and three loops (D, anti-codon, and T loops). Further hydrogen bonds mediate the characteristic L-shaped molecular structure. tRNAs have two regions of fundamental functional importance: the anti-codon, which is responsible for specific mRNA codon recognition, and the 3' end, to which the tRNAs corresponding amino acid is attached (by aminoacyl-tRNA synthetases). tRNAs cope with the degeneracy of the genetic code in two manners: having more than one tRNA (with a specific anti-codon) for a particular amino acid; and 'wobble' base-pairing, i.e. permitting non-standard base-pairing at the 3rd anti-codon position.
Source: RNAcentral